UCGCUGAUACUGGUGGAAGCGC
RNAcentral lists this microRNA (22 nucleotides) under Plutella xylostella (diamondback moth). RNAcentral describes it as "pxy-miR-8518". Lineage: Eukaryota; Metazoa; Arthropoda; Insecta; Lepidoptera; Plutellidae. The record is from miRBase by way of RNAcentral.